CGAUUUAGUUUAAUGGUAAAACAAAUCCCUCGUAAUGAUUAGACGUAGGUUCGAUUCCUACACUCGGC
RNAcentral lists this transfer RNA (68 nucleotides) under human gut metagenome. It matches the Rfam family "tRNA". Rfam says of the family: Transfer RNA (tRNA) molecules are approximately 80 nucleotides in length. The record is from RNAcentral.